RNAcentral lists this ribosomal RNA (463 nucleotides) under uncultured bacterium. RNAcentral's name for it is "partial 16S ribosomal RNA". It matches the Rfam family "Bacterial small subunit ribosomal RNA", at positions 30 to 507 of the family's 1533-position model. The record is from RNAcentral.
CGAACGCUGGCGGCGUGCUUAACACAUGCAAGUCGCACGGUGAACUCCGCUUGCGGGGGGAUCAGUGGCGAACGGGUGAGUAACACGUGGGCAACCUGCCCUCAGCUCUGGGAUAACUCCAAGAAAUUGGGGCUAAUACCGGAUAUGACCGCUGACCGCAUGGUCUGGUGGUGGAAAGAUUUAUCGGCUGGGGAUGGGCCCGCGGCCUAUCAGCUUGUUGGUGGGGUAGUGGCCUACCAAGGCGACGACGGGUAGCCGGCCUGAGAGGGUGACCGGCCACACUGGGACUGAGACACGGCCCAGACUCCUACGGGAGGCAGCAGUGGGGAAUAUUGCGCAAUGGGCGAAAGCCUGACGCAGCGACGCCGCGUGGGGGAUGACGGCCUUCGGGUUGUAAACCUCUUUCAGCAGGGACGAAGCGAAAGUGACGGUACCUGCAGAAGAAGCACCGGCCAACUACGUG